CGGCGCUAAGGGCGGAGUCCGUGUAGACGUUCUACCUGGGGCUUGACCCCUGGGCCUGCAGGUCACGGAGUAGAAACAUACAGCCCUGAUUGCUGUUGGCAGACAUCUGCCGCUAUGGUAGAAAGCAGCCUGAGGACAAAAUUGUUAAGAGGAAAAAAGCAGAGCCCAGGCAGCCCCGGAGGAAUGAAGCUGGAACUCUGAUCAGUUAUCGGUUCUGGUGGUGGACAGACACCAGAGUGGGAUUCUAAGCUGGCGAGGCUUACCUGGUAUCUCAGGGUCCCGGUGCCCUCAGUCAACACAGGUUCCUGAAGACUCAGUGCCAGGUCCAGGACACUGUGCAAGCAAGAGCACAGCAG
Molecule: long non-coding RNA, 356 nt
Filed under: Pan troglodytes (chimpanzee)
Lineage: Eukaryota; Metazoa; Chordata; Mammalia; Primates; Hominidae
Description: long non-coding RNA NONPTRT010672
Source: RNAcentral